Molecule: long non-coding RNA, 445 nt
Organism: Copidosoma floridanum
Lineage: Eukaryota; Metazoa; Arthropoda; Insecta; Hymenoptera; Encyrtidae
Source: RefSeq, a predicted model, not a curated record
ACCGUCUCGUUACACGUACCUUUGUCGCGUGUAUACACACACAUCCAACAUAUCCGUUCGCCGUUGGUCGAUCUCGCGCCGUCAUCAUCAUCAUUCGCCUCGUCCCAGUACUUGCGUUAUCGUUCAAAAGUCUCGUGCGCGACGAUUUCAUACUUCUCACGCAAAACGCGGUUUGUUGAUUCAUGUAAAAACCAACGAUGAUGAUGAUGAUGAUGAUGAUGAUGAUGAUUAGGUGCAGUUGAUACAGGGCAGUGGUGGCUAUUGUUCGUCUCCGCAAAAUAUAAGAAAGGAAGGAAGGAAGAACGGCCGCUCAACCACCGGGGAGCGGGACAGAAGUUUGACUUUCCGUUCACUCCAAGGUUUUCCCGCCCACUUUGGUUGUUAAGAGGACGUCAACUACAAAUGGUGACCAGAGUACAAUGGACGAAUACUUGAAAUCAAUUCU